UUUAAUUUUUUAAUUUAAUUCCGUUCGACUCGACUCGAAUUUCAUUUCACUCGAUUUGAUUCGAUAAAUUUCAAAUCAAGUUAGGAUGAUAAAAUAAGACUCGUCAACUCGAAAAUUUUUCACUCAAUUCGACCGAAUGCUCACCCUUAAUUUUAACCAUCAAUGUUAUGUCUAAAAUUCACACCAACAAUCAAAAUACAAAAUUAUAACUAAGCAUCAAAGUAAACAACACCAUAGCAUAAUAUCAUAGUUCCAAAACAAUUUAGCAAUGCCACAGCAUCAUCAGUAUCAUUAUCUCAAAUAGCAAGGGCUUACGAAACGAAGGGGCGAACAAAGAAAAAAAAAGAGAAAAGUAGCGUCUAGAGACUUUUGGCAUCGCCAACCAUCCACCAACUGAGAGCUGCAGCAAAACUCUCAUCAGACGUGGACCACCAGCGUUGAAACACCCCACUGGACCCUCUUCAACAAAAGGUUGCUCGGGAGAAGAGAAAAGAGCCAUGAAAGCUCAAACAAGGUCCCCAAAAGGGGUUAUUAAGUCGAGAGAAUAGCAUAAAAAAAUAUAAGAACUAGGAGAUGGAUAACCAACCACUGGCAGCGUGUGAUUGGCCGUCGAGGCUAAUGUAAGUCAUUUUUUUAUACCUUUUCCUUUCUAUGGACUCUUUUAAGCUUAACAACUUAUUAUAUGGCUUAUAAACAAAAGGCAAAUGAUUUAUCUAAAUUGUGUAAAAUAAAUUGUUUUGAGAUAUUUUUAUAUUUCUAGUAAGAGAUUAAUGUAUCCUACAUUUAUAGAAGUGAUAAAGGUUUUUAAUAUUACACAUUCAUAAUAGAAGGAGAUGAGUAAUGAUACAGGACAUAGCAACUAUAAUAAUAACUCCAUUUCUAUCCGUACGUCUAGUUUUGAGAAUAAACAAUAACAUGUUGAUAAUACUUAUUAAGAAAAAAUAAUUGCUUUAUAAUAAUUACAUAAAUUAAUUAAUGAAGCAGCUAGAGUAAAGGUAAUAAAAUCUAAAACCACUAGUGUUUUUCAAAUUGCUUAGAGAAGAGGAAAGGGAUAAAAUCAAAUCCAACACCACCACAUGCAAAAGUUCACUAAUUCAAAUGACUUUUCUUUAGUUCACACCCAAUUAAAGUAAUACCUAUUGAUAUAUUUUAAAGCACUUCAAAGAUUCUGACUUCAUCUCCCCUAUUUAUACAUUAAUUCUACAAGGUUCAAAAGUUUUUAUUUAAAAAGGAAAAAAAACAUGUCAUCAUAUUAAUCUACAUAUUAGAAGUUUAUAUCAUAUUUUAAAUUAUAAAAAUAUAUAUAACCAAAUUUAUUCAGAAUAAAAGUACUUUUUCUCUGUUAAAAUGAUAAAAGGAAAAAGGCCCUUUAUUUAUUUACGAAUUACCCUAAAAAAAAGCUUUGCUUCCGAAGAAUGGAAAAUCGAAAUUUUUUUUUAGUCCACUGUGUCAUAUCUUAAAGAACCAGGCAAGUUCCGACACGUGGCCACACAUUUUUAAUUGAAAUUCUUUAUCCUAGAUAAGAUUCUGUUAUCUCAGAUUACCAAAAUUAGAAUUUGACCACUCAUUAUAGCCAAGAAUAUACAUUUUUAAAAGAAACAAAUAUUUUAAUAUCAUAUCAUAAACAUUAUCUUGAAUCGGCUUUGUCUCUGUCUAUUUCUUUUCAUUUAUACAUGCUAAAAAAAGAAUAAUCGAAUAUGUUAGUGCUUUGUUGAUAAGAUUUACGAGGGCCAAGCUUAUCCCAUUUAAGGUUUAAACACAAUUUGGAUAAUGAUAAGUUGGAUAACUAUUAUUAUUAUAUUAUCACAUUUACAUAUUCUUGUAUUACUCUAAUUUUAAAUUUGAAUAUAAAAAUAAUUGAUUGAGUCUUAAUAUAUAAAUUUCAACACGUACUAUGAAAAUUAUUUUUUAAAAUUAACGUAAACAUGCAAAUAUGUUGAAAUAUAUGUAAAAUAAAUUAGUAACGUAUCAAAUAUCACACAUGAAAAACAAUAUCAAAAUGAUAUUAGCAUAAUGAUCACAAAUGUAGAAAAGUAUAUGUAACAUGUCAAAAUCAACAAAUUAUUUUUAUUACAAAUAUGAUCACAAAGGUGCUUUCAAAUUCUCUAUCAACUAAAGUUGGGAUAACUUUUGACAUAACAAUUUAUGUUUUAAAGCGUCUUUUAGUCUCGCUUAGAUAAACUAAUUGGGAUUAUUGGAUAAAUCUAACUUAGAGGCCAUUGUAUCCCUCCUCCAUCUUUGAAAUCCUAUCACGUGACCCAUACCUGUCUAUAAUCCCUCAUCCAUUUCUCCUUAUGAAAUGAAAUUCAAUUCCCCGAACACAAAUGCAAGCAUCAACUAUCUAAAUAUCCCUCAAAAUUUUCAAAACUCCCCUCCAAUUUAAAAUAUAACAAGAGAUUACCCUUCCAACAACUAUGAAUUUUGACAACCUCUUUGAUUGAAUAUUUUAACAAGAAUGAACAAAUCAUUAACCUAGCGACUAAAAAAUGGCAGAAAAAAUACUUCUAUCCCUUUACUUCAAGGAAAACCACAAAAAAAAUUAAGUUAAAAAAUCCCUCCAAACAACUUAUUCAAAAUGAUUGGUUGAAGAAUAUGCCUACAAGAGAUUAGACUCAAACUUAAGACAAAAAGUUUUUCAUGGCGAGAGAGUUCCCGACGAACAAGUAAUUAAUAGUUAUUUAGAGCAAAUCAAUUAAAUAAUUCCAAAUUCUGAGGUUUAUUUUUGUAUGACUUUUUGGAAGAAUAAAACUGAUAGGAAAUUAUAUUUUUAGAUAUAAAAAUAACCAAUGGAUUUUUUUUCUUCAAAAAAUAGUAAAAUCAAUGUGAGAAGUGAAAUUUAAGUUUAAAAUAAGAUAACAAACCUCCAGGUAGUAUUUCCUGUGGAAUCUAUAUAUUUUUAUUAAGUUUUAACAAAAAAUAUAGGAUGUGAGGUAUUAGUAUUAGUCGUGAAAUUUGAAAAUGAGGUAUAUUUUUAUUGUUAAAAACAUGCAGAUUUUUCUAUGUAAAUUUAAUUUAAUGGAAUUGAAAUAAAUAGGAAAAGAAAUGGAAAAAUCCGGAACAACA
Molecule: long non-coding RNA, 3063 nt
Filed under: Gossypium barbadense (sea-island cotton)
Lineage: Eukaryota; Viridiplantae; Streptophyta; Magnoliopsida; Malvales; Malvaceae
Description: long non-coding RNA (GBAR_LNC016044)
Source: RNAcentral